AAGUCGUAACAAGGUUUCCGUAGGUGAACCUGCGGAAGGAUCAUUCACAAUAAGUGUUUUAUGGCACUUUUUCAAUCCAUAUCCACCUUGUGUGCAAUGUUGUCUUGUAACGCGAAUGCUUGUCAUUUGCGCUACAGGAUGUAAACAUCAACUCUUAUUUUUAACAACUUUGUCUGAAAACCUGUAUGAAUACUUAAUUCAAAUACAACUUUCAACAACGGAUCUCUUGGCUCUCGCAUCGAUGAAGAACGCAGCGAAAUGCGAUACGUAAUGUGAAUUGCAGAANUCAGUGAAUCAUCGAAUCUUUGAACGCAUAUUGCGCUCUCUGGUAUUCCGGAGAGCAUGCUUGUUUGAGUAUCAGUAAACACCUCAAAUCCCUCUACUUGUUGGAGGAAUUUGGACUUGAGCAAUCCCAACUUUUCGAAAGAGAAGGCGGGUUGCUUGAAAUGCAGGUGCAGCUAGAUUCUUUCUUCUGAGCUAUAAGCAUACUUAUUUAAUCCCGUCAAACGGAUUAUUACUUUUGCUGCAGCUAACAUAAAGGUUGAAGAGUCGCUAUGGCUGACUGAUGCAGGANUUAACAUGUCGCGCAAGCGAUCUGUAAACUCGAUCUCAAAUCAAGCAAGACUAUCCGCUGAACUUAAGCAUAUCAAUAAGCGGANGAAAAGAAACUAACAAGGAUUCCCCUAGUANCGGCGAGUGNAGCGGGAUGAGCUCAAAUUNAAAAUCUGGCUGGUUUACUAGUCCNNNNUGUAGUUUAAAGAAGNNUUUUCGGUGGCAGCCNGGGUAUAANUCCUUUGGAAUAGGGUAUCAUAGAGGGUGAGAAUCCCGUCUUUGACUCAGUGCAUGCUACUAUGUGAUACGUUUUCAAAGAGUCGAGUUGUUUGGGAAUGCAGCUCAAAAUGGGUGGUAAAUUUCAUCUAAAGCUAAAUAUUGGCGAGAGACCGAUAGCGAACAAGUACCGUGAGGGAAAGAUGAAAAGAACUUUGAAAAGAGAGUUAAACAGUGCGUGAAAUUGUUGAAAGGGAAACGCUUGACACCAGUCAUGCGGGCGGAAAAUCAGUCUCUUAUAGUAGGGAGUGGUGGGAGUUUGGACCGCAAGGCCAGCUUUUGCUUCAUCUCUGCUAUGAGUGGUGCACUUUUUCGUUUGCAGGUCAACAUCAGUUUCUUCUGCUGGACAAAACUCUGAGAGAAGGUAGCAGCUUAGGCUGUGUUAUAGCUCUGGAGCGAUACAGUGGAGGGGACUGAGGCUUUCGCAGCGUGUGCUCUCGGGCAAGGCUGAUUGGGUGCUAUGAGAUCGUUCGGUGUACAAUGCAUGCAUUUUGCGCCGUGUCUUUUUUAUACUCGCUCAACUCGGCUCUUCCACGCUUAGGAUGUUGACUUAAUGGUUUUAAUCGACC
This 1397-nucleotide ribosomal RNA is filed under the name uncultured fungus. RNAcentral's name for it is "eukaryotic LSU rRNA". The stretch from base 605 to 1397 matches the Rfam family "Eukaryotic large subunit ribosomal RNA", at positions 1 to 649 of the family's 3401-position model. Lineage: Eukaryota; Fungi. The record is from RNAcentral.